Gloeophyllum trabeum ATCC 11539 is the source of this 99-nucleotide non-coding RNA. Lineage: Eukaryota; Fungi; Basidiomycota; Agaricomycetes; Gloeophyllales; Gloeophyllaceae. The record is from the annotation of a RefSeq genome assembly.
GGCCUGGUGGUCUAGUAGUAUGAUUCCUUCUUAGGGUGUCUUGUAUUGGGCAUUGAACCCAAUUGGAGGAGGUCCCGGGUUCAAUUCCCGGCUAGGCCC